Molecule: ribosomal RNA, 1560 nt
Filed under: Vibrio sp. sp1
Lineage: Bacteria; Pseudomonadati; Pseudomonadota; Gammaproteobacteria; Vibrionales; Vibrionaceae
Description: bacterial SSU rRNA
Rfam family: Bacterial small subunit ribosomal RNA
Source: RNAcentral
AAAUUGAAGAGUUUGAUCAUGGCUCAGAUUGAACGCUGGCGGCAGGCUUAACACAUGCAAGUCGAGCGGAAACGAGUUAUCUGAACCUUCGGGGAACGAUAAGGGCGUCGAGCGGCGGACGGGUGAGUAAUGCCUAGGAAAUUGCCCUGAUGUGGGGGAUAACCAUUGGAAACGAUGGCUAAUACCGCAUGAUGCCUACGGGCCAAAGAGGGGGACCUUCGGGCCUCUCGCGUCAGGAUAUGCCUAGGUGGGAUUAGCUAGUUGGUGAGGUAAGGGCUCACCAAGGCGACGAUCCCUAGCUGGUCUGAGAGGAUGAUCAGCCACACUGGAACUGAGACACGGUCCAGACUCCUACGGGAGGCAGCAGUGGGGAAUAUUGCACAAUGGGCGCAAGCCUGAUGCAGCCAUGCCGCGUGUGUGAAGAAGGCCUUCGGGUUGUAAAGCACUUUCAGUCGUGAGGAAGGUAGUGUAGUUAAUAGCUGCAUUAUUUGACGUUAGCGACAGAAGAAGCACCGGCUAACUCCGUGCCAGCAGCCGCGGUAAUACGGAGGGUGCGAGCGUUAAUCGGAAUUACUGGGCGUAAAGCGCAUGCAGGUGGUUUGUUAAGUCAGAUGUGAAAGCCCGGGGCUCAACCUCGGAAUAGCAUUUGAAACUGGCAGACUAGAGUACUGUAGAGGGGGUAGAAUUUCAGGUGUAGCGGUGAAAUGCGUAGAGAUCUGAAGGAAUACCGGUGGCGAAGGCGGCCCCCUGGACAGAUACUGACACUCAGAUGCGAAAGCGUGGGGAGCAAACAGGAUUAGAUACCCUGGUAGUCCACGCCGUAAACGAUGUCUACUUGGAGGUUGUGGCCUUGAGCCGUGGCUUUCGGAGCUAACGCGUUAAGUAGACCGCCUGGGGAGUACGGUCGCAAGAUUAAAACUCAAAUGAAUUGACGGGGGCCCGCACAAGCGGUGGAGCAUGUGGUUUAAUUCGAUGCAACGCGAAGAACCUUACCUACUCUUGACAUCCAGAGAACUUUCCAGAGAUGGAUUGGUGCCUUCGGGAACUCUGAGACAGGUGCUGCAUGGCUGUCGUCAGCUCGUGUUGUGAAAUGUUGGGUUAAGUCCCGCAACGAGCGCAACCCUUAUCCUUGUUUGCCAGCACUUCGGGUGGGAACUCCAGGGAGACUGCCGGUGAUAAACCGGAGGAAGGUGGGGACGACGUCAAGUCAUCAUGGCCCUUACGAGUAGGGCUACACACGUGCUACAAUGGCGCAUACAGAGGGCGGCCAACUUGCGAAAGUGAGCGAAUCCCAAAAAGUGCGUCGUAGUCCGGAUUGGAGUCUGCAACUCGACUCCAUGAAGUCGGAAUCGCUAGUAAUCGUGGAUCAGAAUGCCACGGUGAAUACGUUCCCGGGCCUUGUACACACCGCCCGUCACACCAUGGGAGUGGGCUGCAAAAGAAGUAGGUAGUUUAACCUUCGGGGGGACGCUUACCACUUUGUGGUUCAUGACUGGGGUGAAGUCGUAACAAGGUAGCGCUAGGGGAACCUGGCGCUGGAUCACCUCCUUAUACGAUGAU